GUGUCAGCAGCCGCGGUAACACCCGCAGCCCGAGUGGUAGUCACUUUUAUUGAGCCUAACGCGUUCGUAGCCGGUUUUGUGAAUCCUCAGACAAAUUCUCCCGCUUAACGGGAGAUGCUCUGGAGAGACUGCGAAACUAGGGACCGGGUGAGGCUGAAGGUACUUCUGGGGUAGGGGUAAAAUCCUGUAAUCCUGGAAGGACGACCAGUGGCGAAGGCGUUCAACUAGAACGGAUCCGACGGUGAGGAACGAGGGCUAGGGGAGCAAACCGGAUUAGAUACCCUUGUAGUCC
Molecule: ribosomal RNA, 292 nt
Filed under: uncultured Thermoplasma sp.
Lineage: Archaea; Methanobacteriati; Thermoplasmatota; Thermoplasmata; Thermoplasmatales; Thermoplasmataceae
Description: partial 16S ribosomal RNA
Rfam family: Archaeal small subunit ribosomal RNA
Source: RNAcentral